GUGGGGAAUCUUCCGCAAUGGACGAAAGUCUGACGGAGCAACGCCGCGUGAGUGAUGAAGGUCUUCGGAUUGUAAAGCUCUGUUAAUCGGGACGAAAGAGCCUAGUGUGAAUAAUGCUAGGAAGUGACGGUACCGGAAUAGAAAGCCACGGCUAACUACGUGCCAGCAGCCGCGGUAAUACGUAGGUGGCAAGCGUUGUCCGGAAUUAUUGGGCGUAAGGCGCGCGAAGGCGGAUCUGCCAGUCUGUCUUAAAAUUUCGGGGCUUAACCCCGUGAUGGGAUGGAAACUACAGAUCUAGAGUAUCGGAGAGGAAAGUGGAAUUCCUAGUGUAGCGGUGAAAUGCGUAGAUAUUAGGAAGAACACCAGUGGCGAAGGCGACUUUCUGGACGAAAACUGACGCUGAGGCGCGAAAGCCAGGGGAGCGAACGGGAUUAGAAACCCGUGUAGUCC
This 450-nucleotide ribosomal RNA is filed under the name uncultured bacterium. RNAcentral's name for it is "partial 16S ribosomal RNA". It matches the Rfam family "Bacterial small subunit ribosomal RNA", at positions 354 to 796 of the family's 1533-position model. The record is from RNAcentral.